ACUUCGGUCUGGUGGCGAGUGGCGAACGGGUGANUAAUGUAUCGGAACGUGCCCAGUAGCGGGGGAUAACUACGCGAAAGCGUAGCUAAUACCGCAUACGCCCUACGGGGGGAAGCAGGGGAUCGCAAGACCUUGCACUAUUGGAGCGGCCGAUAUCGGAUUAGCUAGUUGGUGGGGUAACGGCUCACCAAGGCGACGAUCCGUAGCUGGUUUGAGAGGACGACCAGCCACACUGGGACUGAGACACGGCCCAGACUCCUACGGGAGGCAGCAGUGGGGAAUUUUGGACAAUGGGGGAAACCCUGAUCCAGCCAUCCCGCGUGUGCGAUGAAGGCCUUCGGGUUGUAAAGCACUUUUGGCAGGAAAGAAACGUCAUGGGUUAAUACCCCGUGAAACUGACGGUACCUGCAGAAUAAGCACCGGCUAACUACGUGCCAGCAGCCGCGGUAAUACGUAGGGUGCAAGCGUUAAUCNGAAUUACUGGGCGUAAAGCGUGCGCAGGCGGUUCGGAAAGAAAGAU
Molecule: ribosomal RNA, 520 nt
Filed under: uncultured bacterium
Lineage: Bacteria
Description: bacterial SSU rRNA
Rfam family: Bacterial small subunit ribosomal RNA
Source: RNAcentral